CAUUAUAGUUUAGUAGCGUAUGAUACUCCCACUAUUUGUUUUAAGAAAAACAAAUCAACAUCAAAAACGAAUUUUUCAAAUAUUGGAAGUAACUACUACUACUAAGGUUUUUGCAUUCCUUUGAAAUUGGACUUUAUAGUUAUCUUAGGCUCUUGGAUAACCAUGGACUUAUUAGGUUAUUGCAACAACGAGCCAACAUUGUUGAAUAAAAACUCGGGGAGGUUGUGUCAAUUUAAUUACGUGCUUUUCAAUCCAAUUAAAACAUUUUCAUUGAGCCAUUAGAAAUGAAAGACAAUCAUUCAUUGCUAAUUAGGGCGUUGGACCCAUUUAAUCUUUAAUCUCAUGUCAAAGCCCUCUUUUAGUUAUGUAUCCUUACCAAUAGUUAAAGAAACUCUAGUCUAGCACUAGAGGGAAUCAACUAACUAAAAGAGAUUAAGGAGUAAUAAGAAUUACAAACCGAUUUGUACAAAUUCCUACAAAUUAUACAUACUAAGAGGGAGAGAUAGAUUAAUGUCCAACGUGACAAGGUCCAAUUGAAACAGUAAUUAAAACACAUUCCCAAGGUUCAAACAAUUUGAUUUUAGCGCCUUAUCUCAUAGCUCAAUUAUCGUUUAAGGCAUAAGUCCAUAGUCACCAAUUUUUCUAACUACUUAAUCAUAUGGAAUACAACAUAAACAUUUAGAUUUAGUGCAUAUGGGCAUAAUAGUAUUAUGAGUUUAAACAACUAACAAAAUUAAAAUCAUAUAUUUUAACUUUCUAGUUAGUAAGGGCCUAAAUGCAAAUAUGAAAAAGUUAGGGGUAAAACCGUAAAUACUUAAAAAUAUAAAUAUCAACUUUUCAAAGAUUACAAAAUAGCCCCACAAGUGGGUAAUCCACUAGGGGAGGCCGGCCAUAACAAGGUGAGAUGGGAAGUCUCACCCAUAAUGCUUUAAUUCAAUGCAAAGUAGAAAAAAUUAAAUUUUGCUUGUCACUUGAUUUUGGCUUCAAAGACUUUAUUAAAAGGGUAAUGGAAAUCUCCUAGUCAAGUCUAGGAUUUAAUAAAUUUUUGAUAUGGUUAUGGAUGGUAUGUACAUCAUCCAAAACCACAAAACAAUGCAUGAAAACCAAAUAAAACCAUUUUCACCAAAAAGCAAACCAUGAACACCAAAAACAAAACCAUGAACACAUUUUCAAGAUUUGUACAUUCUUGGUGAUUUUUCAAACCCAAAAACAAAAGUGACAAGGUUUCUACUUUCUAGCUUUAAAGUGUGUGUGUGUGAUUCAAAAAAAAACACAAACACAUAGCCAAAAACAUCUUUAUGCCGUGCCCUCCCUAAGAGUCAAAAACCCCAAAAGUUGUUCUAAACUCAUUCUUCAUUCAUGCAUACAAAACACUUUUUGCAUACAUAUCUUUCUCAACUAUUGAUUCACAUUUUUCAACUAUUGAAAAACAAAAGAUAAACAUACUUUGAAUGAAGCAAUAAUCAUGUCAUACAUAAUAUUAAAACCCAUAUGUAUAAAAUCCAAAAGGACACAUAAUAUAUAAACCUUUGGCUCUGAUACCACUUGAAGGGAAAUUUAUGAGAUUUCAUGUGGGAUUUCAUAUGACUAGCAUGCAUAUACAAUUCAAAAUUUAUAUACGAAAGCAACGGAAGCAUGUUAUCACAUAAUAUCAAAGCUAUAGUCAUGCAAAUCCCCUUCAAGGUUCAUAGGUUUAUAUAAGAUGCAUCAAAACAUUUAAUUGAAGAACAAAGUGUAGGAGUAGAUAUAUACCUCUUGAUCUAGAUUUUAGACCAAGGAUGGACCACCUCCAAGCCCUUUGUUCCUUGAACUCCUUGAGCCUAGCCUCCCUCCUUGCCUCCUCCACUUUGUUAGAAUGAGUGCUCCUUGGUUCUCCUUUAGUCUCCAAAGUAGAAGACCUCUAAAGAUCCACACCCACUAGUGUAGUGAGAAUGAUGAAUGAAUAACCAAAAAGGAGAGAAGAAGAUUAGUUCAAACUCCCGUAUGGUGGCCGGCCUUUUGGGUGUUAAGAGAGAGAUAUUUUCUUUUCUCUUUUGUUGUUUUGAACACACAAAAAACCCUUUUUGAAAAAUAUCUCUAUAAAGUUCCUUUUAUAGACAAAAAGAAACCUAGUCAACAACUUGACUUCCUCUCUCUCCCUUUCCCUUUAAGUGGCCGGCCUCCUUAGUGUUGUUUGGGCUUUUGGGCUUUUAUCAUUUCAAGUCAUCUUAUGCUUGAAUAAAAGCCCAAUGGGUUUAGGCCCAAUGAGCCCAAUUAAACCCAAACGUUUCUUUAAGCCCAAAACAAUCUUUUAUCGCUUUUGUGAUUUCAUUAGACUUUCUAAUUAAUCACAACACUUAAUUAAUCCAAUUAAUUAUUUCCAUCAUCCAUUAGUUGUAUCACUACAAGAGUGUAUCGGUGUACAAUCAUUUUAGGUUCUAAUUAGCAAGGUAGUGAGGUGAUUGGCAUCAAUCCAAUUGAUUAUAUUUAAUCCAAUCACUUAGUGAAUUAAAACUUACUUUUAAUUCACCUUCUUCUUUGAUGACUACAUUUAAUCAUCUAGAAGAACUCACAAGCCAUGAGUGACAUGUAACCAUAUAUCAUGGCUAUCCAAGCUAAUGUAGAAGUUGUUCGGAGAACCUAUUCAGUUGGAAUUACAAUGUAA
Molecule: long non-coding RNA, 2644 nt
Filed under: Malus domestica (apple)
Lineage: Eukaryota; Viridiplantae; Streptophyta; Magnoliopsida; Rosales; Rosaceae
Description: long non-coding RNA (MDOM_LNC002232)
Source: RNAcentral